Lineus longissimus is the source of this 423-nucleotide long non-coding RNA. RefSeq lists it as uncharacterized. The record is from RefSeq and is a predicted model, not a curated record. The transcript has 3 exons. Lineage: Eukaryota; Metazoa; Nemertea; Pilidiophora; Heteronemertea; Lineidae.
AUCUGAAAAAUAUUAACUACCCUUUAGAAAAGUUAAUCUCUAUAAAUACUCAACUCUUAAUAUAUUAAUAGGUGGACACCUUGCAAAGAAAUGAAAUCAUCUUCAACAUGUUCAAUUGUUGAAGAAGGACGAGUAGACUUUUUAAAUAGUAUUUACAAUUUCUACAAAAAAAACCUCUCAUUCCAGGAAUACCUGCAGCAAUUGGAGCAGGGCCAGGUAGAGUUUUCAUACCACCACUUAAGCCCAGGAAUGAGGAGCAAGUACCAGCCUCUGCCAUUGUCAUUGCUGAAAUAGGUCUGCCAACUUCUGGAUAUCCCAAUGACGACAUUGAAGAAGUCAAAACAAGCAUGACUUAUGAAUCAGAUUAUUUGGAACUGUGCUCAGCUGGCCCCACACCCCCAAAAUGUGUCAUGACAAUGAAGA